CCCGCUGAACUUAAGCAUAUCAAUAAGCGGAGGAAAAGAAACUAACAAGGAUUCCCCUAGUAACUGCGAGUGAAGCGGGAAGAGCUCAAAUUUGAAAUCUGGCGGCUUCGCCGUCCGAGUUGUAUUCUGGAGAAGCGUUUUCCGUGCUGGACCGUGUACAAGUCCCUUGGAACAGGGCGUCGUAGAGGGUGAGAAUCCCGUCUUUGACACGGAUCCCCGGGGCUUUGUGGUGCGCUCUCAAAGAGUCGAGUUGUUUGGGAAUGCAGCUCAAAAUGGGUGGUAAAUUCCAUCUAAAGCUAAAUAUUGGCGAGAGACCGAUAGCGAACAAGUACCGUGAGGGAAAGAUGAAAAGAACUUUGGAAAGAGAGUUAAACAGUACGUGAAAUUGCUGAAAGGGAAACGCUUGAAGUCAGUCGCGUCGGCUGGAAAUCAACCUUGCUUUAGUUGGGUGUACUUUCCAGUUGACGGGCCAGCAUCAGUUUUGACCGGUGGAAAAAGUCCAGAGGAAGGUGGCACUUUCGGGUGUGUUAUAGCCUUUGGUCGUAUACAUCGGUUGGGACUGAGGAACUCAGCACGCCGCAAGGCCGGUCUUCGGACACGUUCGUGCUUAGGAUGCUGGCAUAAUGGCUUUAAUCGACCCGUCUUGAAACACGG
This 654-nucleotide ribosomal RNA is filed under the name uncultured fungus. RNAcentral's name for it is "eukaryotic LSU rRNA". It matches the Rfam family "Eukaryotic large subunit ribosomal RNA", at positions 24 to 664 of the family's 3401-position model. The record is from RNAcentral. Lineage: Eukaryota; Fungi.